RNAcentral lists this long non-coding RNA (360 nucleotides) under Cricetulus griseus (Chinese hamster). RNAcentral describes it as "lncRNA (ENSCGRG00015039196.1)". The record is from RNAcentral. Lineage: Eukaryota; Metazoa; Chordata; Mammalia; Rodentia; Cricetidae.
ACUGUCUGUAAACCCUGUCUCUGAGGACAGACACACAGUUUGCAGCAAGCUCUCGAAUCCGCCUGGUGAUUGGGGUGACCGCGAACCUGGCCUGAGACCCCGGAUACUUGAGUUUUUCGGGGGUCUAACAUUUUGGGGGCUCGUCCUCGAUUUGCGACCACGCUUCACCUAAGUGGAUUCGAUCUUGGAGGGGGUCAGGGGUCUUUUCUUGAUUCUCUGAGCACGUGGCGCCACCUCAACUAUGAUCGGCAGAUGCACCCGGAGGACAGACUGCCACUCUGAGGACACCCAGGACCCAGGAGGUACAGACUCGGGCCAAGGACACUUGGACCCGCCUCAGUUAGCCGCCGAGUUCUGCCG